Molecule: ribosomal RNA, 269 nt
Filed under: uncultured prokaryote
Description: partial 16S ribosomal RNA
Rfam family: Bacterial small subunit ribosomal RNA
Source: RNAcentral
UACGUAGGUGGCAAGCGUUAUCCGGAAUUAUUGGGCGUAAAGAGCGCGCAGGUGGUUGAUUAAGUCUGAUGUGAAAGCCCACGGCUUAACCGUGGAGGGUCAUUGGAAACUGGUCGACUUGAGUGCAGAAGAGGGAAGUGGAAUUCCAUGUGUAGCGGUGAAAUGCGUAGAGAUAUGGAGGAACACCGGUGGCGAAGGCGGCUUUCUGGCCAGUUACUGACGCUCAUGCGCGAAAGCGGGGGUAGCGAACCGGAUUAGAUACCCUGGUA